Molecule: long non-coding RNA, 6493 nt
Filed under: Solanum tuberosum (potato)
Lineage: Eukaryota; Viridiplantae; Streptophyta; Magnoliopsida; Solanales; Solanaceae
Description: long non-coding RNA (STUB_LNC010482)
Source: RNAcentral
AACAUUUUGAGCGAAUUAGAUUAUAAUCUAUAUUGUUAAGCCAUUCGUAUUUAAUCCUAGCCACUCAUUUGUCAUCUUUCUCUACAUAUGUACAAACGUGCAUAUAAAUGUCUAUAUGCAUAUAUAUAUGUAUACGUAUAUGUGUGUGCGCGCGCGUGUAGAAGUAGAUAGGUUAAAGAAAUGAGAAAUUACCAUGAGAAUUCCUUUUAUAUCCUCCAAUGAGAGAUCAAUUGGUGUUAAUUUCUCUUUCUUCAAUUGAAGCAAAAGAUCUUGUCCUUUGAAGUCGAUAUCACUAUUUAAGAAUCUCUCAGGCAUAAAUUCUUCUGGAUUUUCCCAUAUUUCAGGAUCUCUUGCAAUUGCCCAUGUGUUAACAUAAACUAUAGUUCUUGGUUGAAAUUCGUAGCCUUCUAGUGUGGAUAUUUUCAUUGAUUCUCUUGGUAUUAAGAGUGGAGCUGGUGGAAAUAAUCUUAAUGUCUCUUUUAUCACUGCUUUGAAAUAAGGCAUAUUUUGAAUAUCAUCUUCAUUUACAAUGCCUUUGUUCCCAAUUAAAUUUCUGAUCUCUUCUUGAACUCUCUUCACGGCUUUUGGAUUUUUGAUCAAGAUUGUCAUUGCCCAAAUUAUCACAGAUGCACUAGUGUCUGAUCCAGCAAGUAACACAUUCUACAUAAAAAUUGGCAAUUCAUGAGAAAUUUUCACGGCAAUAUUUAGCUGCAAUAAUAUAUAUAAUUAUCAUUAUAUUAUAUUUUCAGUGGCAAUAAUAAAUACAAAUAUUUAUAAUUAACAUUAGUUAAACUAUUGGGUUAAAACAAACAAAAGUUAAACUAGAUGGGUUAUUUUACCAUCCAAGCUCAAAUUUACAUGCAAAAUCAAAUUUAGGCUAGCUAACAAUUUAGGAAAAAUAAAUUAGCUUUCACAUUUUUUUCAAAAAAGAAUAAGAUAAGAGGUAGUGUUGUGUUGAGCGAAUUGAAUUAUGACCCGUCAUUUUCCUAUUUUAAUUCUAACACAUUUUGCCUCAAGAACAUUUUGAGCGAAUUAGAUUAUAAUCUAUAUUGUUAACUCAUUCAUAUUUAAUCCAAGCCACUGAUUUGUCAUCUUUCUCUACAUAUGUACAAAAUGAGGAGGAUAAGAGGGCAAAUGGGGAUAGAUAUAAGGUAACAAAGUUAGCUGUUAAAUGACAACAUAUGUGAACGUUUGUACAAAGAACUACAAGACAAAAGUGGAGAUAAAAAGUUGUACAUGAUGCGUCAAGGCAAGGGAAAUGUGGGAUCGAGAUCAAGAUAAGCUACAUAUAUAAAAUGCAUUCACAACCAAUGAAAUUGACUUAUUAUCAUUCAAUUACAGAAUAACCCUCAAAAGCCCAUUGUCAAAGCACAAAGAAACAAUCCUUUAUACGACAAAGUGAUUAAUUCGAGUCGAAAGCAAUUGAUGCCUUACCUCAAGAACUCCCCCUUAGAUUCACUUUGGGAUGUAAUUUAGAAAUAUUUUUUAGGGAUAAGGCAAAGGUCAUUUUUCUUAUUCAUUGUAAUUCCAGGUCUACCAUUUAUGUCAAUGUCCUCCUUUUUCAACCCAUAAGGUAACUCCCAAUCAAAUGCAUAAAGAAGAUUUGAUAAUGCAAGUUCCACAGAUGCAACCCCAAGUGCCAUGGCCGGACACCCUCUUCUUCCUGCUCCAAACGGAAUAAACUCAUAGUCUUGUCCCUUGAAGUCAAUAUCGCUAUUCAAGAAUCUCUCAGGCAUAAAUUCUUCUGGAUUUUCCCAUAUUUCAGGAUCUCUUGCAAUUGCCCAUGCGUUAACAUAAACUAUAGUUCUUGGUUGAAAUUCAUACCCUUCUAGUGUGGAUAUUUUAAUUGAUGCUCUUGGUAUUAAGAGUGGAGCUGGUGGAAAUAAUCUUAAAGUCUCUUUUAUCACUGCUUUGAAAUAAGGCAUAUUUUGAAUAUCAUCUUCAUUUUACAAUGUUUUUGUUCCCCAUUAAAUUUCUGAUCUCUUCUUGAACUUUCUUCAUGGCUUUUGGAUUCUUGAUCAAGAUUGUCAUGGCCCAUAUUAUCACAGAUGCACUAGUGUCUGAUCCAGCAACUAACACAUUCUACAUAAAAAUUGACAAUUCAUGAGAAAUUUUCAAGGCAAUAUUUAGCUGCAAUAAUAUAUAUAAUUAUAGUUAUAUAUAUUUUUAGUGGCAAUAAUAAAUACAAAUAUUAGUAAUUAACACGCUAUUAACAUUUGUUAAACUAUUGGGUUAAAACAGACAAAAGUAUAACUAGAUGGGUUAUAUUACCAUCCAAGCUCAUAUAUACAUGCAAAAUCAAAUUUAGGCUAGCUAACAAUUUAGGAAAAAUAAAUUAGCUUUCACAUUUUUUUCAAAAAACAAUAAGAUAAGAGGUUGUGUUGUGUUGAGCGAAUUGAAUUAUGACCCGUCAUUUUUCUAUCUUAAUUCUAAUACAUUUUGCCUCAAGAACAUUUUGAGCGAAUUAGAUUAUAAUCUAUAUUGUUAAGCCAUUCGUAUUUAAUCCUAGCCACUCAUUUGUCAUCUUUCUCUACAUAUGUACAAACGCACAUAUAAAUGUCUAUAUGCAUAUAUAUGUAUACGUAUGUGUGUGUGUGAGCGCGUGUAGAAGUAGAUAGGUUAAAGAAAUGGGAAAUUACCAUGAGAAUUCCUUUUAUAUCCUCCAAUGAGAGAUCAAUUGGUGUUAAUUUCUCUUUCUUCAAUUGAAGCAAAAGAUCUAUAAUAUCUCCUUCCAUGGAGUUUGGCCUAUUGGGAUUGUGAUGUUGUUCAAUUAGUUCUUCAUAAAAAUCAUCCAAAUCUUUGAAAUUCUUCUCAAGUCUAUCUGUCAAUCCAGUGAGUUUAUCAAUCCAACUUAAAGAUGGAAAAAAAUCAGACACAAAAAAGCUUGCCAACAUAGCUUCAGCUUCAACCAUAAUAUGAUCAAAUCUCUUCCUUUCAUGUGCUUCUUCAUCAAAUCUAACACCAAAAGCAACUCUACAAAUAAUUGUACUAUUAAGUGAAAUCAUCAAAUUGCUCAAAUUGGUGACUUGAGAAUUAACAGCUAGUUGAUAUACUUUCUUGAUCAUUCUUGAGACUUCAUCUUUUCGAAUCGGACCAAAUAAUUGCACUUUCUUGAGACUAAAUAGAUGAAGAACACAUAUUUUUCUCAUUUCUCUCCAAUAAUCAUUGUAAGGUGCAAAACCAAUAUCAUGACCAUUGUAAGAUAAUUUUUGUUGGCCAACAAGAGAAGGUCUACUACAAAAUACUAAAUCUUGCGUCUUGAGUACUGCUUUUGCUAAUUUUGCUGAAGAAACUACAACAAUUUGAACAGAAGCAAGUUUCAAUGAUAAUAUUUUUCCAUACAUUUUGGAAAGUUUCCAAAAAUAAAUAUGAGGAGUUAAACUAUCAAAUUGAUGCAAAUUUCCAAUGAAUGGAAGCCCUAUAGGACCUGGUGGAAGCUUAUUUUUUCUACCCCUUUUGACUUUAGGGAGAAGAAAGACGAGGCAAAUAGGAAUGACCACAAAGAGUAGAAAGAACAUCAUUUUAUUGUCUAAUUGCCUAGUCACUUGAUAUGCCUUUUAUAUAUAAAUGGUCUUUGGGAUAAAUUAUUUUUUUAGGAGCUUUAGUAACUUCUAUAUACUGACAAUAUAAAAGUAUUUCUAGAUCAUCAGGCCAUCAAAGAUAUAAUAACUAUAAGUAACUAUUCAUAACGAGAGGAACCAUUUACUAGGAAAUAAGAUCUACAAUUUGCUACAGAAUUUUUAAUUAAAUUAAUAGCGUAAAAAAUUGUUAUGCUAUUAAUAAAUUAGUUAUAUUAGUUAAUUUUUAAAUGAGUAAUUUUUUUUUUGUGAGAUAUCGAACCGUGAAAAUAGUCACUAUAGGAUAGACUAUUUACCUAUAAAGUGACAACACAAAAAUUAUAAAACCACUGAAGGUUGAAAAUGACCUUUAUCCUCUAGCAAUCAAUAUUAUUGGACCAUAUAAACAGUAAAAAUAUUAUGCGAUACACAAAAUUCUGAAUUUGCCUUUAAUUUUCAAGAUCUUUGUGUGCACAACUUAGAUAUCAAAGGUGAAUGAAUAGAUAUCUAGUAGGGAUAAUAGAACAUGUGGUUCUCAAUUAUUUAUAAAUUCGCCGUGUAUUAAAAGAGAUUUUUAGCGAAAUGUAAUAAAGUAUAUGAAUACAACUAACAUUUUGAAUUCUGCCAAUAAUUGGUGAUAUAUUGAAGGAACGUAACAUUAUUUUGAAGCAAUUAUAUUUAUAAGCACGAAAUAUGUUUAGAUAUCAUUCUAGUGGUAUUUCUAUAGUGAACUUAAUUAUAGAAAAUGGAUUACAAAAUGUAAAAAUUCUAGUUAACACAUGUGAUAUAACAAAUUCUUUGAAAAUUUCAAGGAAAGUUUAAAAUUCUGUAACAAACUUUUUAAGGGAUAAUAGUAUAAAUCUUCUUACGAUUUUGAACGUAGUAAACAUAACUAUUAUUUACGAUUACUCAAAAAAUAAAUUAUUGUUAUUAAGCUUAUAUUAUUCUUGAGAAAAUCAAAAGUCUCCCUAUACCCGACUAUUUUAAUGUUCCACAUUAUAUAUAUAAUUGUGAGAGUUAAAGAGAGAGAUAUAUCGAGCUUUUCAAGAUAAACCAAGAGAAUAUCUUGAAAAACUAUAUGAUAAUUAAAAACUGUAAUAUUAUAUGCUAAAUCGUCAUUUUAAGGAUGACGACUUAACAACUGCAUACAUAUGUAUUAUGGCGAUUUUUAAUAAUUGUGUAUUAAAACCGCCAUAAUGCUAUCACUUUUUGUAGUUCAUUAUUCCUAUCUAGUUAAGGUUAACUGAAUAGUACAUAAUUCGUGUUGAAAAGCAAUUGAUGAAUUCANNNNNNNNNNNNNNNNNNNNNNNNNNNNNNNNNNNNNNNNNNNNNNNNNNNNNNNNNNNNNNNNNNNNNNNNNNNNNNNNNNNNNNNNNNNNNNNNNNNNNNNNNNNNNNNNNNNNNNNNNNNNNNNNNNNNNNNNNNNNNNNNNNNNNNNNNNNNNNNNNNNNNNNNNNNNNNNNNNNNNNNNNNNNNNNNNNNNNNNNNNNNNNNNNNNNNNNNNNNNNNNNNNUCCAAGUGCCAAGCCUGGACAUCCUCUUCUUCCUGCUCCAAACGGAAUUAACUCAUAGUCUUGUCCUUUGAAGUCGAUAUCGCUAUUUAAGAAUCUCUCAGGCAUAAAUUCUUCUGGAUUUUCCCAUAUUUCAGGAUCUCUUGCAAUUGCCCAUGCGUUAACAUAAACUAUAGUUCUUGGUUGAAAUUCAUAGCCUUCUAGUGUGGAUAUUUUCAUUGAUUCUCUUGGUAUUAAGAGUGGAGCUGGUGGAAAUAAUCUUAAUGUCUCUUUUAUCACUGCUUUGAGAUAAGACAUAUUUUGAAUAUCAUCUUCAUUUACAAUGCCUUUGUUUCCAAUUAAAUUUCUUAUUUCUUCUUGAACUUUCUUCAUGGUUUUUGGAUUCUUGAUCAAGAUUGUCAUUGCCCAUACUACCACAGCUGCACUAGUGUCUGAUCCAGCAAUUAACACAUUCUACAUAAAAAUUGACAAUUCAUGAGAAAUUCUCAAGGCAAUAGUGGACACACGCUACAACAAAUAAAGAAUUUGUGACAAUAAUAUAAUUGUCAUUAUAUUAUAUUAGCAUCAAUAAUUGUCGUUAAAUGUCGCUAAGGGCUUUAGCAACUCUGAAUGCAAUGAGCAAUAGGAAAAUCAAUUAUCACGUAUAUGUGUGCGUGAGCGCGUGUAUAAAUAGAUAGGUUAAAGAAAUGGAAAAUUACCAUGAGAAUUCCUUUUAUAUCCUCCAAAGAGAGAUCAAUUGGUGUUAAUUGCUCUUUCUUCAAUUGUAGCAAAAGAUCUAUAAUAUCUCCUUCCAUGGAGUUUGGCCUAUUGGGAUUGUGAUGUUGUUCAAUUAGUUCUUCAUAAAACUCAUCCAAAUCUUUGAAAUUCUUCUCAAGCCUAUCGGUCAAUCCAGUGAGUUUAUCAAUCCAACUUAAAGAUGGAAAAAAAUCAGACACAAAAAAGCUUGCCAACAUAGCUUGAGCUUCAGCCAAAAUAUAAUUAAAUCUCUUCCUUUCAUGUGCUUCUUCAUCAAAUCUAACACCAAAACCAACUCUACAAAUAAUUGUACUAUUAAGUGAAAUCAUCAAAUUGCUCAAAUUGGUGACUUGAGAAUUAUCAACUUGUUGAUAUAUUUUGUUGAUCAUUCUUGAGAUUUCAUCUUCACGAAUCGGACUAAAUAAUUGCACUUUCUUGAGACUAAAUAAAUGAAGAACACAUAUUUUUCUCAUUUCUCUCCAAUAAUCAUUGUAAGGUGCAAAACCAAUAUCAUGACCAUUGUAAGACAAUUUUUGUUGGCCAACAAGAGAAGGUCUGCUACAAAACACUAAAUCUUGUGUCUUGAGUACUUCUUUUGCUAAUUUUGCUGAAGAAACUACAAUAAUUGAAACAUGAGAAGAAAGUUUGAAUGAGAAGAUUUUUCCAUAUUUCUUGGAAAGUUUCCAAAAAU